Molecule: ribosomal RNA, 253 nt
Filed under: uncultured bacterium
Lineage: Bacteria
Description: partial 16S ribosomal RNA
Rfam family: Bacterial small subunit ribosomal RNA
Source: RNAcentral
UACGAAGGGGGCUAGCGUUGUUCGGAAUUACUGGGCGUAAAGCGCGCGCAGGCGGUUUUUUAAGUCAGUGGUGAAAGCCCGGAGCUCAACUCCGGAACUGCCAUUGAAACUGUAGAACUUGAGGACGAGAGAGGUGAGUGGAAUUCCCAGUGUAGAGGUGAAAUUCGUAGAUAUUGGGAAGAACACCGGUGGCGAAGGCGGCUCACUGGCUCGUUUCUGACGCUCAGGCGCGACAGCGUGGGGAUCAAACAGG